UGGGGAAUUUUGGACAAUGGGCGCAAGCCUGAUCCAGCAAUGCCGCGUGCAGGAUGAAGGCCUUCGGGUUGUAAACUGCUUUUGUACGGAGCGAAAAGGCUCUGGUUAAUACCUGGGGCUCAUGACGGUACCGUAAGAAUAAGCACCGGCUAACUACGUGCCAGCAGCCGCGGUAAUACGUAGGGUGCAAGCGUUAAUCGGAAUUACUGGGCGUAAAGCGUGCGCAGGCGGUGAUGUGAGACAGGUGUGAAAUCCCCGGGCUUAACCUGGGAAUUGCAUUUGUGACUGCAUCGCUGGAGUGCAGCAGAGGGGGAUGGAAUUCCGCGUGUAGCAGUGAAAUGCGUAGAUAUGCGGAGGAACACCGAUGGCGAAGGCAAUCCCCUGGGCCUGCACUGACGCUCAUGCACGAAAGCGUGGGGAGCAAACA
RNAcentral lists this ribosomal RNA (427 nucleotides) under uncultured bacterium. RNAcentral describes it as "bacterial SSU rRNA". It matches the Rfam family "Bacterial small subunit ribosomal RNA", at positions 355 to 774 of the family's 1533-position model. The record is from RNAcentral.